AACAGCCCCACUUCUGUUUUCCCCGUUAAGAAACGAAAAUCCUAUACGCCCAACCCAAAUCUAUUCUUCAUCCACAACUGCUCGAUCACUCUGAAUGAUCUCCUCCCAAAAAAAAUUGUUCUACAAAUUCCUGGAUAUAUUCUGCGAAACUCAACAAAUGAUUUCCAAUGUUGUGGCAGGAUGCAUAGGAUAAAGUAUAUUUGAUUAACGACCGUGACAGAAUCACUGGGAAGGUAUUUUGAUAGUUAAAUAUAAAGGGUGGCCGAAACUAGAGAAACCAAUAGAAGUGGGAAAGUUUCUAUUAGCUCCACUUCAAUUAAACACAAAAUUAACUGCGCCGUAAACACGAAUUUAGCUGCACCGACACGACGUACAAAUCCUGUUUUGCUUAGGCAGGGGUAUAUGAAAUGCCUAAUAUUUCCCUCAACUUCGUUGUUUGUUUGACAUUCAUUGUGUUGAAAUCGUAUAUGUCAGAACUGAUCUGGAUAAUGUGACGGCGUCCUUCAUACACUCGACGAAGAUGAGGAGGUCUGAAAAACAUCACAUGAAGUUUGGUAAAAGUUUAGCUUAAUUUUCAGCUUAUUGAAACCGAGAAUGACCUGAUGGAAGAAAGGAACCUGACCGAAAAAAUGGAAUUUGAGCAAGCAUACUUAAUCGAAGAGUUGAAUAUUCCAAAGAAGGAGAAUUCACAGUAUGUAAAAUUACCGAGGAAUGAAGAAUUUGCUUCACAGCAUGAAAAUUUAUGUGAACCUUCAUAGAGGGACCAUCAAUUUAAGAAUCCGGCUCAAUUUGAUUGUAUCCUGGCUAUGGAAGACAAUGUUGCAGGGUUUUUUUUUCAACAAUGUAAGUUGGGACAGGGACUUGAGGAAGCCAGAACAUUGAUUAGGUGAUAUCAAGAUGGCUAGGAAUCAAA
Long non-coding RNA from Papaver somniferum (opium poppy), 913 nucleotides. RefSeq lists it as uncharacterized. The transcript has 5 exons. The record is from RefSeq and is a predicted model, not a curated record. Lineage: Eukaryota; Viridiplantae; Streptophyta; Magnoliopsida; Ranunculales; Papaveraceae.